This 302-nucleotide unclassified non-coding RNA is filed under the name Hevea brasiliensis (rubber tree). The record is from RNAcentral. Lineage: Eukaryota; Viridiplantae; Streptophyta; Magnoliopsida; Malpighiales; Euphorbiaceae.
AAAUAAAGAAGAAUUCUCAAAAUGCAAAGUUAGGAUAUGCGCAAGACGAGAUUAUCGUUCAUUGCGGGACGAACGACCCAAGAGUCCUUGGUAAAUUCCGGAAUUUGGAGAGCAUGGAAAAGCCCCAUUCGGGAGUGGGCGCCUGGCCGGAUUUCCAGGAUGAUUGGUGAAAAGGUAUACUCCCCCUUAAGUACUCUCCACUGAAUAUCGCGAACUGUAGAUAGAUCCAUCGAUGCAAAUCAACUUUUUUUAAAUUUACCAUUGUAAACCUUGCCCAACCAAGAUAGGAAACUCACUACGAU